UGCUCUCUGAUUCAGCGGCGGACGGGUGAGUAAUGCCUAGGAAUCUGCCUGGUAGUGGGGGACAACGUUUCGAAAGGAACGCUAAUACCGCAUACGUCCUACGGGAGAAAGCAGGGGACCUUCGGGCCUUGCGCUAUCAGAUGAGCCUAGGUCGGAUUAGCUAGUUGGUGAGGUAAUGGCUCACCAAGGCGACGAUCCGUAACUGGUCUGAGAGGAUGAUCAGUCACACUGGAACUGAGACACGGUCCAGACUCCUACGGGAGGCAGCAGUGGGGAAUAUUGGACAAUGGGCGAAAGCCUGAUCCAGCCAUGCCGCGUGUGUGAAGAAGGUCUUCGGAUUGUAAAGCACUUUAAGUUGGGAGGAAGGGCAGUAAGUUAAUACCUUGCUGUUUUGACGUUACCGACAGAAUAAGCACCGGCUAACUCUGUGCCAGCAGCCGCGGUAAUACAGAGGGUGCAAGCGUUAAUCGGAAUUACUGGGCGUAAAGCGCGCGUAGGUGGUUCGUUAAGUUGGAUGUGAAAUCCCCGGGCUCAACCUGGGAACUGCAUCCAAAACUGGCGAGCUAGAGUAUGGUAGAGGGUGGUGGAAUUUCCUGUGUAGCGGUGAAAUGCGUAGAUAUAGGAAGGAACACCAGUGGCGAAGGCGACCACCUGGACUGAUACUGACACUGAGGUG
This 676-nucleotide ribosomal RNA is filed under the name Pseudomonas sp. EECC-497. RNAcentral describes it as "bacterial SSU rRNA". It matches the Rfam family "Bacterial small subunit ribosomal RNA", at positions 81 to 753 of the family's 1533-position model. Lineage: Bacteria; Pseudomonadati; Pseudomonadota; Gammaproteobacteria; Pseudomonadales; Pseudomonadaceae. The record is from RNAcentral.